This 419-nucleotide long non-coding RNA is filed under the name Numida meleagris (helmeted guineafowl). Its description in RNAcentral is "lncRNA (ENSNMEG00000003644.1)". The record is from RNAcentral. Lineage: Eukaryota; Metazoa; Chordata; Aves; Galliformes; Numididae.
GGGAGCAGUUGUGCAGCCCCAGUGCAGCCACAUCAUGGGGCCAUCGCUGUCCUGUAAUCAGCAUCCAUGGCCAAGGUCCCACGCGAGGCAGAGAGAAAAGGAAUGUGAGCAGCUACUUGGCACCGGCAGGAUGGAAUGACUGUGCUGGAGGAGCUCCGGGAGAAGGAAAAAACCACAUCAAGGCUGUCUGCCUUCCUCAUCCUGAAUUACAGCACCCAGAGAGGAAUACGCCAGGGGUUGGAUGUGGAGGGCGGAUGCUCCGCGCAGACCUUCAGCCCAGAGCUGAGACGUCCAACUUGACACCGUGGAGGAUUCCCAGCAUUCUUGGACUGCUUUGCAUCGAAGCCUACUGAGAAAACAUCUCCCUGCUUUCAGGCAGUUUGACCCACUGGGUCAUGAAAAUAAACACUUGAAGGAAA